RNAcentral lists this ribosomal RNA (1394 nucleotides) under uncultured bacterium. RNAcentral describes it as "bacterial SSU rRNA". It matches the Rfam family "Bacterial small subunit ribosomal RNA". The record is from RNAcentral.
AGAGUUUGAUCCUGGCUCAGGAUGAACGCUGGCGGCGUGCUUAACACAUGCAAGUCGAGCGAAGCAGUUAAGUUGAUUUCUUCGGAUUGAUUCUUAACUGACUGAGCGGCGGACGGGUGAGUAACGCGUGGGUGACCUGCCCCAUACCGGGGGAUAACAGCUGGAAACGGCUGCUAAUACCGCAUUAGCGCACAGAGCUGCAUGGCUCAGUGUGAAAAACUCCGGUGGUAUAAGAUGGACCCGCGUUGGAUUAGCUAGUUGGUGAGGUAACGGCCCACCAAGGCGACGAUCCAUAGCCGACCUGAGAGGGUGACCGGCCACAUUGGGACUGAGACACGGCCCAAACUCCUACGGGAGGCAGCAGUGGGGAAUAUUGCACAAUGGGCGAAAGCCUGAUGCAGCGACGCCGCGUGAGCGAAGAAGUAUUUCGGUAUGUAAAGCUCUAUCAGCAGGGAAGAUAAUGACGGUACCUGACUAAGAAGCACCGGCUAAAUACGUGCCAGCAGCCGCGGUAAUACGUAUGGUGCAAGCGUUGUCCGGAUUUAUUGGGCGUAAAGCGAGCGCAGGCGGUUUGAUAAGUCUGAAGUUAAAGGCUGUGGCUCAACCAUAGUUCGCUUUGGAAACUGUCAAACUUGAGUGCAGAAGGGGAGAGUGGAAUUCCAUGUGUAGCGGUGAAAUGCGUAGAUAUAUGGAGGAACACCGGUGGCGAAAGCGGCUCUCUGGUCUGUAACUGACGCUGAGGCUCGAAAGCGUGGGGAGCGAACAGGAUUAGAUACCCUGGUAGUCCACGCCGUAAACGAUGAAUACUAGGGUGUGGGGGGGACAAAGUUCUUCGGUGCAGUCGCAAACGCAAUGAGUAUUCCACAUGGGGAGUACGUUCGCAAGAAUGAAACUCAAAAGGAUAUGACGGGGACCCGCACUAAGCGAUGGAGCAUGUGGUAAAAUUCGAAGCAACGCGAAGAACCUUCCUUAGUAUUGACAUCCUUCUGACCGGUCCAUAACCGGACCUUUCCUUCAGGACAGGAGAGACAGGUGGAGCAUGGUUAUCGUCAGCUCGUGUCGUGAGAUGUUGGGUUAAGUCCCGCAACGAGCGCAACCCCUAUCUUUAGUAGCCAGCAUUUCAGGUGGGCACUCUAGAGAGACUGCCAGGGAUAACCUGGAGGAAGGUGGGGACGACGUCAAAUCAUCAUGCCCCUUAUGACCAGGGCUACACACGUGCUACAAUGGCGUAAUCAGAGGGAAGCAGCCUCGUGAGAGUGAGCAAAUCCCAAAAAUAACGUCUCAGUUCGGAUAGUAGUCUGCAACUCGACUACAUGAAGCUGGAAUCGCUAGUAAUCGCGAAUCAGAAUGUCGCGGUGAAUACGUUCCCAGGGUCUUGCACACACCGCCCGUCA